UGAAAGGCCAGAAGCCUUCCCUUAUGGGAGACCGUUGUCUGAUGUACUAGACCAGACUCUUAGAUUGAACUUUGAUUGUGUAAUAAAUCUGUUCUCUCUUUCAAACAGGUCUGGUACAGGGAAACCUGAUAAUCCUGCAUGUAACAUAUACACUGGGGAAGAAGCAGACCCUGUAAACCCCUCCUGCCAGCUCUGCACUGAGGAGGCAACGGGCUCAUUUCUGCUGCGGAGGCUAGCCUCUGCAACGUGAGUAAAUUGAAUAUAACCGUAUAAUGGUCGUGUCAUUUACGCAAAAGACCGAGGAGCACCAGCUGGAACGGAGGGAAUGAGAGUGCUGCCAACCUCCUUCAGGAUGAACGCUCCUCAGAGUCCUUGAUUUGGUCCUGGAGUGCAAUGCAGACCGAGGGCCUGCUCUCCGACGAGCGUGCUGCACUCCCUGCCCGUCUGCAGGGCCCAUUAGUGGUAAUGAGGUGGCUGUCUGCAGCCUCUCCCCGUGCCCGCAAAAGGAAAAUCAAACCCUUUCCUCUGUAUGGUCCCCACAGGUUGGUCAUCAGUCAUAGCUGUUUACAUGUCAUAUACAACAUCUGAAGUCCCCAAAGUGCACCAAAUAACCACAUGUAGUCAAAAUAUCUUUGAAAAUGUGAAAUAUGCUAC
This 654-nucleotide long non-coding RNA is filed under the name Anser brachyrhynchus (Pink-footed goose). RNAcentral describes it as "lncRNA (ENSABRG00000005137.1)". Lineage: Eukaryota; Metazoa; Chordata; Aves; Anseriformes; Anatidae. The record is from RNAcentral.